AGUUUUGCGCAGGGGCAAUAUCAUAGCCAGUGAGGUUUAUCCGAGGCGUGUUUUAUUGCUAAUUGGAAGCAGCUGUGAUCUCUUCCCAUCUGGAGCCAGAGAGGAUGAAGAAAAAUGAAGACUCAAGAAAGC
Molecule: small nuclear RNA, 132 nt
Filed under: Echinops telfairi (small Madagascar hedgehog)
Lineage: Eukaryota; Metazoa; Chordata; Mammalia; Afrosoricida; Tenrecidae
Description: U4 spliceosomal RNA (ENSETEG00000021852.1)
Rfam family: U4 spliceosomal RNA
About the family: U4 small nuclear RNA (U4 snRNA) is a component of the major U2-dependent spliceosome. The structure of U4 snRNA from yeast and human has been reported.
Source: RNAcentral